ACAGCAGUAGCCGCGGUAAUACGAAGGGUGCAAGCGUUACUCGGAAUUACUGGGCGUAAAGCGUGCGUAGGUGGUGGUUUAAGUCCGUUGUGAAAGCCCUGGGCUCAACCUGGGAAUUGCAGUGGAUACUGGGUCACUAGAGUGUGGUAGAGGAUAGUGGAAUUUCCGGUGUAGCAGUGAAAUGCGUAGAGAUCGGAAGGAACAUAUGUGGCGAAGGCGACUAUCUGGGCCAACACUGACACUGAGGCACGAAAGCGUGGGGAGCAAACAGGAUUAGAUACCCCAGUAGUCCCUGUCUCUUAUAC
RNAcentral lists this ribosomal RNA (305 nucleotides) under uncultured bacterium. RNAcentral's name for it is "partial 16S ribosomal RNA". It matches the Rfam family "Bacterial small subunit ribosomal RNA", at positions 508 to 807 of the family's 1533-position model. The record is from RNAcentral.